This 1303-nucleotide long non-coding RNA is filed under the name Sus scrofa (pig). RNAcentral's name for it is "lncRNA (ENSSSCG00015034312.1)". The record is from RNAcentral. Lineage: Eukaryota; Metazoa; Chordata; Mammalia; Artiodactyla; Suidae.
AUGCUAUGUGUCUUUCUCUUUCUUGUUUUUCAUGCAGUCUUCCAUCGUCUUCCUCUAUUCCGACCCCAGGUGUGGCUUCAUGUGCUGGAACAUCGCUCCUGUCUGGAAGUGCUCCUGCACGUUGGUGAGGACUCCCUUCCGGCCCUCGGCUGGCCUUCAUCACCUCACACCUGGAUGACCGCAACAGCUGGCCUGCCUUGGGCUAGCCUUUCUCUGCUCCAGCCUCUCCAGCUGCCAGGACCCAUCUUCUGCAAAUACCUUUGGCAUCACAUCACUUCCCUGCUCAGACCUAUUAGAUCCUAGCUCCAUUCAUCUGGCUGGGAGCCAGCCAAUUGGCCUCCCAUUCUUCCUCUUCCCUCCUUUCAAGUUCACUCCCAUCCAGCCAGCCUCAUAGGUUGCUUUAAAUCUUCUGUUAGCCCCUCUGCUAGUUUGGGUGGUCUCCUUUCCACCUCCUCCCGCCCUCCCUCCAGAAUACUUCUGGUGACUUUGGGGGAGUCAUGCAAACUGUCGAGCUUCUCCAGCCUCUUUCUCAAUGCAUUUGCCUCCCCUGCCCGCAUCGCGGCUCCACCAUUCACCUGCUAGAGGCCUUCAGGCAAGUUGCUUCACCUCUCGGUGCCUCAGUGUUCUCAUUUUUUUCAUCCAUAAAAUGGGGAUCUUAAUGGUACAUCCUCAUCAGUUCGUGGAGAAGAUUAAAAGAGGUGAUAGUGGAGUUCCCAUUGUGGCGCAGUGGAAACAUAUCUGACUAGUCUCCAUGAGGACGCAGGUUCGAUUCCCUGGCCUCGCUCAGUGGGCUAAGGAUCUGGCAUUGCUGUGAGCUGUGGUGUAGGUCACAGACGCGACUCGGAUCCCCCGUUACUGUGGCUGUGACGUAGGCCGGUGGCUACAGCUCCAAUUUGACCCCUCACCUGGGAACUUCCAUAUGCUGCAGGUGUGGCCCUGAAAAGACAAAAAAAAAAAAAAAGGAGAUAGCUGUAAAAGGACCUAGAACAAUAUUCGGCACAAAGUAACUGCCAUGGACACAUCAGCUAUUAUUACUUUUUUUUUUGUCUUUUGUCUUUUUAGGGCUGCACCCAUGGCAUAUGGAAGUUCCCAGGCUAGGGGUCUAAUCGGAGCUGUAGCCUACACUAGAGUCACAGCAACGCCAGAUCUGAGCCGAGUCUGUGACCUACACCAGAGCUCACCACCACGCCGGAUCCUUAACCCACUGAGCGAGCCCAGGGAUCGGACCCGCAACCUCAUGGUUCCUAGUUGGAUUCAUUAACCACUGAGCCACAAUGGGUACUCCAGCUAUUAUUACUUAACC